RNAcentral lists this ribosomal RNA (253 nucleotides) under uncultured bacterium. Its description in RNAcentral is "partial 16S ribosomal RNA". It matches the Rfam family "Bacterial small subunit ribosomal RNA", at positions 524 to 776 of the family's 1533-position model. The record is from RNAcentral.
UACGUAGGGUGCGAGCGUUGUCCGGAAUUAUUGGGCGUAAAGGGCUCGUAGGCGGUCUGUUGCGUCGGGAGUGAAAACUCAGGGCUUAACCCUGAGCCUGCUUCCGAUACGGGCAGACUAGAGGUAUGCAGGGGAGAACGGAAUUCCUGGUGUAGCGGUGAAAUGCGCAGAUAUCAGGAAGGAACACCCGUGGCGAAGGCGGUCUCUGCGGCAUUACUGACGCUGAGGAGCGAAAGCGUGGGGAGCGAACAGG